UCUGCCAUGUGCUGCUUCAGCUGCUGUGGAGGGAAUGUUUGCAAGCCACUGGUAUUUCCCGGUUAAAUUCGGUCGAUGCUUUUAAUCCCUCACUCUACUUGGUCUCUCAGCAGCAUUCCGUACCGUGCCGAAAAACUCCCUUCUUCCUUUACUCCUCCUGGUUUUCCUCUCAUCUCUUCAGCUACCACUUGUCAGUCUCCUUUGCCUUCUUACCUUCUGCCACUUAACUUUUGUAGCGUUCCUCUGGUUUUUCCCUCAGUUUUCUUUUCCUUGUACUCUACAGCAGGUUUUCUACUUUAAAGGGCCAUAAAGUAAAAUCAUUGGGCUUUGCAGGGUACAAAGUCUGUCUUUAGCAACUUCUCAACUCUGUUAUGGUAGCGUGAAAGCGGCCAUAAACAAGAAUUAGACUAAUGGGCAUGGCUUAUUCCAAAAGCCUCUGUUUACAAAAACAGACGGGCUGGAUUUUGCAUGUGGUGUGCCAGGCCAUAUUUUAUAUGCUUCCUAGUGAGGUACCCUUUCACGUGUCCCCAUAUCUGUAUAUCCAGCUACCUAACAUCCACAUCUAAGUGUCUCUAUAGCAUCUCAUGAAAGAUCUUAACCUAGAAAUUCUGCCCUUUCCCUCCAGAUCUGGUCUCUCUCCAGUGUCCUUAAUAAGAGGCACUGCCAUUCAGAUGGUUGCACAAGGCAGAAAAUAGAGGAGUACCUAAAAGAGGGUGGAAGAUGCUUAUUGCUUGGUUGCCCAGAAGAAUCAUGGCUGUUGCUGAUAAUUAUGACUGACAGCAAGGAAAGCCUGCCAGGCCCUCCCUUGUUCCUAGACAACAGACUCAACACUGAUUAAACUUACAACCCUGGAAUUUAAUAAAUUUCCUAGUCACUGAGUUUUGGACUUAGAACAACAACAAAAAAACAUAAAAAAAAAAAGAAACCAAACCAGAAACAGAAGUAAGUAUUGGCUUCUUGAUGAAUGCUCAAUGACGGAUUUAAAAACUCGGUGUGUAUUCCAGAAGUUACUGAUACACGUAAUCCAUUUGAUCGAUGCAAGGGUAACAA
This is a long non-coding RNA of Panthera uncia (snow leopard), 1050 nucleotides long. RefSeq lists it as uncharacterized. The record is from RefSeq and is a predicted model, not a curated record. The transcript has 2 exons. Lineage: Eukaryota; Metazoa; Chordata; Mammalia; Carnivora; Felidae.